GUGAACGCUAGCGGUGCGCCUAACACAUGCAAGUCGAGCGCCCAGCACUGUUUCGAUCCAUGGGAAUUUUCCCCCGGUCGGCAUGGUGCUGGGAGCGGCGGACGGCUGCGUAACACGUUGGAACCUGCCCCAGACUCAGGGAUACCCCCGCGAAAGCGGGGUUAAUACCGGAUGCCCCCGCAAGGGGAAAGCUUUUGCGGUCUGGGAGGGGCCUGCGGCCUAUCAGCUAGUUGGUAAGGUAACGGCUUACCAAGGCUAUGACGGGUAGCUGGUUUGAGAGAACGACCAGCCAGAAUGGGACUGAGACACGGCCCAUACUCCUACGGGAGGCAGCAGUGAGGAAUCUUCCGCAAUGGGGGAAACCCUGACGGAGCGACACCGCGUGGAGGAUGAAACCAUUUUUUGGCGUAAACUCCUGUUCUGAGGGAACAAAUUUUUGAGUGUACCUCAGGAGAAAGCACCGGCUAAUUCCGU
This 474-nucleotide ribosomal RNA is filed under the name uncultured bacterium. RNAcentral describes it as "bacterial SSU rRNA". It matches the Rfam family "Bacterial small subunit ribosomal RNA", at positions 29 to 506 of the family's 1533-position model. The record is from RNAcentral.